GGCUCGGUGUUGAAAGGUCCAGUGACGAGCCAAGAUGGCUGCGCCCAUGUACUCCCCGUAGCAGUUGUUGACCUUUGUUUUUCCUCCCUGUCACCUGGCCCCUGUGGUGGCAGGCUGGACACGAAGACUAUGCUGGGCCGGACCCUCCGAGAAGUUUCUGCUGCACUGAAACAAGGCCAAAUUACUCCAACUGAGCUCUGUCUAAAAUGUCUCUCCCUGAUCAAGAAGACCAAGUUUCUAAAUGCUUACAUUACUGUAUCAGAAGAAGUGGCCUUAAAGCAAGCUGAAGAAUCAGAGAAAAGAUAUAAGAAAGGUCACUCACUUGGGGAUUUAGAUGGAAUUCCUGUUGCAGUAAAAGACAACUUUAGCACAUCUGGCAUUGAGACAACAUGUGCAUCAAACAUGUUGAAAGGUUAUGUACCACCUUAUAAUGCCACAGUAGUUCAGAAGCUGUUGGAUCAGGGAGCUUUACUAAUGGGAAAAACAAACUUAGAUGAAUUUGCUAUGGGAUCUGGUAGCACAGAUGGUAUAUUCGGACCAGUUAAAAACCCCUGGAGUUAUUCAAAACAGUACAGAGAAAAGAGGAAGCAGAAACCCCAUGGUGAGAACGAGGAGACAAAUUGGCUUAUAACUGGAGGAAGCUCCGGAGGGAGUGCAGCCGCCGUAUCAGCGUUCACAUGCUUUGCGGCUUUAGGAUCAGAUACAGGAGGAUCAACCAGAAAUCCUGCUGCCCACUGUGGAGUUGUUGGUUUAAAACCAAGCUAUGGCUUAGUUUCCCGUCACGGUCUCAUUCCCCUGGUGAAUUCAAUGGAUGUGCCAGGAAUCUUAACCAGAUGCGUGGAUGAUGCAGCAACUGUGUUGGGUGUACUGGCUGGGCAUGACUGCAAAGAUUCGACCACAGUACAAGAUCCUGUUAAAUCAUUUAUACUUCCCAGUUUGACAGAUGUAAGCAAACUAUGUAUAGGAAUUCCCAAGGAAUAUCUUGUACCAGAAUUAUCGAGUGAAGUACAAUCUCUCUGGUCCGAAGCUGCUAAGCUGUUUGAGUCUGAGGGGGCCAAAGUAAUUGAAGUGUCUCUGCCUCACACCAGUUAUUCAAUUGUCUGCUACCAUGUAUUGUGUACAUCAGAAGUGGCAUCGAAUAUGGCAAGAUUUGAUGGGCUAGAGUAUGGUCACCGAUGUGACAUUAAUGUGUCUACUGAAGCCAUGUAUGCUGCAACCAGACGAGAAGGCUUUAAUGAUGUGGUGAGAGGAAGAAUUCUCUCAGGAAACUUUUUCUUAUUAAAAGAAAACUAUGAGAAUUACUUCGUCAAAGCACAGAAAGUGAGACGACUCAUUGCUAAUGAUUUUGUGAAUGUUUUUAACUCUGGAGUGGAUGUCUUGCUAACUCCCACCACCUUGAGUGAGGCAGUGCCGUACGUGGAGUUCAUCAAAGAAGACAACAGAACACGAAGUGCCCAGGGUGAUAUUUUUACACAGGCUGUAAAUAUGGCAGCUCUCUGUUUUUUAGAACCACAUCAGGCUGCAUUAUAAUUCUUAAUAGCAAUGAUCAAACAUAGCAUAGAACACUCAAGAGGAGAUGGAAAUUCUGUUCUUACCUGUGCUUUUGGUUAUUGUGUUUAUUUCUCCCUGAUCUGUCAAGAUUUUUUGUUUUAUCACAUCCUUUCUGUUUAAAGAAAUUCCUUUAGCCAUUUUUUUAGGGUAGGUCUGAUGGCAACUAAUUCUCUUCGCUCUCUUCCUUUUCAUUCUUAAAAAUUAUUUUUGCUAUAUAUAGGAUUCUGUUUUGACAGUUCUUUUCUUUAGCACUUAAAAAAAAUGUGCUGCUUUCUUCUGGCCUGCUUAUUUCUGAUAAGAAACCCCCUACCUUUUAACAUUUUUCUUUUAAGUGACAUUGACUAUUGAAAAAUCUAGUUCACUUGUCCUGUAGGAUGUCCCCUCCAUAAUCUGAAUUGUCAGAUUGUUUCCUUGAGAUUGAGUUGAGUCCAACAUUUUUGACAGAAAUACUACAUAUUCUUGAUGUCAGGAAACAAUUAACAUUAGUUUGCUCUGCUUUUGGAAACUAAGUUGAACCCUUAGUUAAGGAAGUAACCGCAGAUGUUUUCCUUGUAGAGUUACAUUUUUCUUUUUAUCAGUUAUAAGCAUUUGGUGAAGUGAUACUUUGAGACCAUGUGAAUAUCCUAGUCCCCAAUAAACUUGAACUCAGUUUUAGCAUCCAUUGAUGCUGACUGCCUGAGUUAAUACCUAGAGAAUUACAAAAUGCUGACCUUUCUAACGAUAGCAUUCCAUCUCUGUAUAUUAGCAGUCUUCUCUAAAGAGCAGCUUUCUUUCUUGGUUUUAAUUCAAUGAAGUAUAAGCAAUUACUACCAUUAUUGUUUUUGCUGCUCAUAUUGCCUCAGAUUUAGUCAACAGGAGCCCCUUCAAACUGCAUAUAUCCUUUAGACCUGUCCCCAGUAAUUUUUGAAAACUUCCUUAUUUUAUGACGUAACAAGAUGUCCCAAGAUUUUAUACUUUCUCUGCUCAAACAUGGAAUUAAAACUACCCUGAGCUACUAUUUCUCAUCUAACAAACUGGAAAAAUUUACAAGUUCAACAAUUUAGUCUAUUGGCAAGGGUGCAGGAAAAAAUCUUGCUAAUGGGAGUUCAGAAUGGUACAGCUUUUUUGGAGGGGAAUUUGGCAUUAUCUAAUUACAUAUUUAUUAAAGGAUAAAUAUGGUGAAGCAGUCAUCUUUGUUGAGAAACUUUCAAGAAUAUCAGAAAACAUGUACACAGUAAUUCACUAGGCUAUAGCGUGAAAUAGCUAAGCACAGAAAACAACCUACAUGCCGAACCAUAGAAAAUGGCUGAAUAAAUUAUGGUAAACCCACAUAAUGGAAUAGAUGCAGGUAUAAAAAGGAAUGAAGAUGUUCCAAUAACAGUGAUUUUCAACAUUUAUCAUUAAGUGAACGAAGGAAGGGUUGCCAGCAGUGAGUGUCCCUAUGGCCCUCUCCAACCAAGGGUUGCCAAUAGGACUGCAGUUUAUUGGACGUGCAUUUUGUGACCAGCAGCUUCUUACAGUUGCCAAAUGGUUUGAAAAACAAGUACAGUUUCC
Myotis daubentonii (Daubenton's bat) is the source of this 3084-nucleotide RNA transcript. It is a transcript of the gene named glutaminyl-tRNA amidotransferase subunit QRSL1, with no coding region annotated. Lineage: Eukaryota; Metazoa; Chordata; Mammalia; Chiroptera; Vespertilionidae. The record is from RefSeq and is a predicted model, not a curated record.